This is a long non-coding RNA of Nicotiana tabacum (common tobacco), 842 nucleotides long. RefSeq lists it as uncharacterized. The record is from RefSeq and is a predicted model, not a curated record. NCBI's taxonomy places the organism in Eukaryota, Viridiplantae, Streptophyta, Magnoliopsida, Solanales, Solanaceae.
ACGUCGAAUUAACUUUUAAGUCUCAUUUUGGGCUCUUUGUUUCUCUCUCUCUUUCUCUCUCUCUAUCAAACUCUUCGCUCAUUGUUUUUCUAGAAAUUUCUUUUGUUCCUAAAACAUAAAUUUCAUCUUUAAUUUGUGAAAUCUCAAAUAAAUGAAGCUUCAUUUCUGCCGUUAGGUUUCUCUAAAGUGGUGUUGCUUGACAUUUUAGUUCGAUUCAUGGAGUUCUUAACCAAGUAUUUGAAUACACAAGUUGGGUUUAGCUCACUCUAAAGAUCCAACUUUGCUUCAGAAAGUCUUCAACUAUGAUCGAAGCAGUUCCCUGUUCAAGAUGAUAUUUAGUUUUUUUACCAUUUUGUAAUAGCGGUCUUUUUUGUAAAGGAACCUCCCUGCUUGGUUUCUGGGUGGAAAAGGUUACAUAUGCGUAAACACGAUUACAUAAGGAAGAGGACUUUGAGCCUAGCUUUCCUGAAACAAUAUACAGCCACCCAAUUCUUACAAAUCUAAGAUCAUGAAGGACUCCAUUUACAUUAGCUCUGUACAACCUUAUCAUUACUAAAUUAGACAUGUAUUCUUGUUAGUUUUCAAAAUUGGUAUAUCUUUUUUGCUGUUUACGCCCUAGAAGAUGAGAAUUGCAAGUAAUUUAUCCAUCCUUAACUAUCCUUUAGCCUCUUCAGGUAGCUCCCUCCAACUAUGUAUAAAUACCUCAUUUAGUACUGGUUCUCAGGGAGGCAGGAAGUUGACAAACUUUUCUUUCUUUUAUAUUCAUUAAUCUCAGGAGCACAGUGGCCAUGGUAAAAGAAAUUCAAAUGGCCAAUUGAAAUCAUAUUUACUUAUUCAAACUU